Dermacentor andersoni is the source of this 780-nucleotide non-coding RNA. The record is from RefSeq and is a predicted model, not a curated record. Lineage: Eukaryota; Metazoa; Arthropoda; Arachnida; Ixodida; Ixodidae.
UACAGUGAAGAGAUUGAUUGCAGAAUCUGGUUUUGCUGCCACACUUGGUUGUGGUAACUGUGUUACGUUUCUCAGAUGUGGGGGCCUGGUCAGUUGCAUUGGUAAGCAGUCCCUCGAGGUAAGCAUUUGCUCCUGCAGUCCGCAAAGCGACAUGGACUCCCAGUAUACACACACCGUAACUGGUGCGCCCCGUUUGUUCUGGCCUGCUGCAGCCAUGGGCAAAUUGUGCUUGUGGCCUACCUCGGCCAUGAUUUGCUCAACACCGAGACCAGCAUAUGUGCUUACAUGGUUCAAGGUGUAUGAAGUUGAUAGCCGUAUGGGUGGAAAGGCCCGCAAGAAUGGCUGCCGAAGGUGAUGCCCACAAAAGCGACUUGUCCACAUUGCGACAAAGUGGGACACAAAGUGUGAGCCACACAUAGCGGCCCCCGAAAGAAAAUAAACGUGCAGGUUGGAAAGGAGUGAACGGCUAAAAUCUGGGGUAGCCCAUGUCGCUGUGUAGGCUGCGGCAGCAGAUGCCUGCGUCUCCCGAUUGCUUCGCAAUGCAAUUUGGGCAUUUUUAACGGCGACUGUCGCUGCAAACAAUUGGCACACUCUGUCCAAUAUGUUUCCGCUGCUGGUUGUUGCUCGUUAACCUGACCACCACGUGCGACGACGACGGUGAGCCGUUUACGAGCUCGCGUCAAUGAUUCCAGCGUAUCUCGACAUGCAAAUUUUAUUUCUGCUAUUGCACGAGAAUGUACACUGCUUGUCUUCUGCCAAUAAAGUCACGUGUUCUGUUCA